AACGAACGCUGGCGGCAUGCCUAACACAUGCAAGUCGAACGAGACCUUUGGGUCUAGUGGCGCACGGGUGCGUAACGCGUGGGAAUCUGCCCUUGGGUUCGGAAUAACAGUGAGAAAUUGCUGCUAAUACCGGAUGAUGUCUUCGGACCAAAGAUUUAUCGCCCAGGGAUGAGCCCGCGUAGGAUUAGCUAGUUGGUGGGGUAAUGGCCUACCAAGGCGACGAUCCUUAGCUGGUCUGAGAGGAUGAUCAGCCACACUGGGACUGAGACGCGGCCCAGACUCCUACGGGAGGCAGCAGUGGGGAAUAUUGGACAAUGGGCGCAAGCCUGAUCCAGCAAUGCCGCGUGAGUGAUGAAGGCCUUAGGGUUGUAAAGCUCUUUUACCAGGGAUGAUAAUGACAGUACCUGGAGAAUAAGCUCCGGCUAACUCCGUG
RNAcentral lists this ribosomal RNA (433 nucleotides) under uncultured bacterium. Its description in RNAcentral is "partial 16S ribosomal RNA". It matches the Rfam family "Bacterial small subunit ribosomal RNA", at positions 29 to 507 of the family's 1533-position model. The record is from RNAcentral.